GACGAACGCUGGCGGCGUGCUUAACACAUGCAAGUCGAACGGAAAGGCCCUGCUUUUGUGGGGUGCUCGAGUGGCGAACGGGUGAGUAACACGUGAGUAACCUGCCCUUGACUUUGGGAUAACUUCAGGAAACUGGGGCUAAUACCGGAUAGGAGCUCCUGCUGCAUGGUGGGGGUUGGAAAGUUUCGGCGGUUGGGGAUGGACUCGCGGCUUAUCAGCUUGUUGGUGGGGUAGUGGCUUACCAAGGCUUUGACGGGUAGCCGGCCUGAGAGGGUGACCGGCCACACUGGGCCUGAGAUGCGGCCCAGACUCCUACGGGAGGCAGCAGUGGGGAAUAUUGCACAAUGGGCGGAAGCCUGAUGCAGCCACGCCGCGUGCGGGAUGACGGCAUUCGGGUUGUAAACCGCUUUCGCCUGUGACGAAGCGUGAGUGACGGUAAUGGGUAAAGAAGCACCGGCUAACUACGUG
This 468-nucleotide ribosomal RNA is filed under the name uncultured bacterium. Its description in RNAcentral is "partial 16S ribosomal RNA". It matches the Rfam family "Bacterial small subunit ribosomal RNA", at positions 28 to 507 of the family's 1533-position model. The record is from RNAcentral.